This 724-nucleotide long non-coding RNA is filed under the name Cricetulus griseus (Chinese hamster). Its description in RNAcentral is "lncRNA (ENSCGRG00015037020.1)". Lineage: Eukaryota; Metazoa; Chordata; Mammalia; Rodentia; Cricetidae. The record is from RNAcentral.
GUGACUACAAGGUUAUUUAGGGAGAAGGGUUGAGUAUAAUGCCCUGGACUGCCCCCAGGACCACAGAAGAAAAAGUAGCUGAGCUGUCUGAGCUGAGAGCCAACAGGCCUCCGUGUGCCAAGCAUCACGAGAGAAAGGGUAGCCUUGUCUGGACUGGAACUUGACAUAUAGACCAAGCUCGAAGAAACUGGCCUGUAGCUGCCUCCUAAGUCCUGGGAUUAAAGGGCAGUGCUGCUCUCGGCCUCCGUCAGAAGCUCCAUUUUCAGUGGGCAGAGGUUAAUGUAGAGAUCCACAACUGGCCAAAGAGCGAUCUGGGCCUGAGAUGUGAUCAGCCCUGAAUGAGACAAGCACACCAACUACCUCUGAGGUCCAGAGAACUUCAAGGAGGAUGGGGCAGGAAGAAUGCAAGAGCCCAAGGAUGGGGAGGGUGCUGGGAAAGGCUGUCCGCUGGACUUGACACGGCCUUUGUGCUCAUGAACUCACAGCAGCUGUGGUUACUGACACACAAUUGAAGGGGGUCAACAUUCCAGCAUGGACCAGGAGGGGCUCACAAGAACCCUCCCCUCUCUGAGGAGCUAUAGGCAGUUAAGGAAUGGCUGCUGGGGGAGGGGAAUCAUUUUCUUCAGUGGUGCAGCCACCGUUAAGUUGCUCCAGUAAAUAAAUCCCAGCCCACAAUCCUAACUAAACUCUAUGGCACACAGACACACAGAUGGGGACUUUGGGG